AGUUUGAUCCUGGCUCAGGAUGAACGCUAGCUACAGGCUUAACACAUGCAAGUCGAGGGGAAACGACAUCGAAAGCUUGCUUUUGAUGGGCGUCGACCGGCGCACGGGUGAGUAACGCGUAUCCAACCUGCCCACCACUUGGGGAUAACCUUGCGAAAGUAAGACUAAUACCCAAUGAUAUCUCUAGAAGACAUCUGAAAGAGAUUAAAGAUUUAUCGGUGAUGGAUGGGGAUGCGUCUGAUUAGCUUGUUGGCGGGGUAACGGCCCACCAAGGCAACGAUCAGUAGGGGUUCUGAGAGGAAGGUCCCCCACAUUGGAACUGAGACACGGUCCAAACUCCUACGGGAGGCAGCAGUGAGGAAUAUUGGUCAAUGGACGAGAGUCUGAACCAGCCAAGUAGCGUGCAGGAUGACGGCCCUAUGGGUUGUAAACUGCUUUUAUAAGGGAAUAAAGUGAGUCUCGUGAGACUUUUUGCAUGUACCUUAUGAAUAAGGACCGGCUAAUUCCGUGCCAGCAGCCGCGGUAAUACGGAAGGUCCGGGCGUUAUCCGGAUUUAUUGGGUUUAAAGGGAGCGUAGGCCGGAGAUUAAGCGUGUUGUGAAAUGUAGACGCUCAACGUCUGCACUGCAGCGCGAACUGGUUUCCUUGAGUACGCACAAAGUGGGCGGAAUUCGUGGUGUAGCGGUGAAAUGCUUAGAUAUCACGAAGAACUCCGAUUGCGAAGGCAGCUCACUGGAGCGCAACUGACGCUGAAGCUCGAAAGUGCGGGUAUCGAACAGGAUUAGAUACCCUGGUAGUCCGCACGGUAAACGAUGGAUGCCCGCUGUUGGUCUGAAUAGGUCAGCGGCCAAGCGAAAGCAUUAAGCAUCCCACCUGGGGAGUACGCCGGCAACGGUGAAACUCAAAGGAAUUG
Molecule: ribosomal RNA, 912 nt
Filed under: uncultured bacterium
Lineage: Bacteria
Description: bacterial SSU rRNA
Rfam family: Bacterial small subunit ribosomal RNA
Source: RNAcentral